Molecule: ribosomal RNA, 378 nt
Filed under: uncultured bacterium
Lineage: Bacteria
Description: bacterial SSU rRNA
Rfam family: Bacterial small subunit ribosomal RNA
Source: RNAcentral
UGAUACGUAGGGUCCGAGCGUUGUCCGGAAUUAUUGGGCGUAAAGGGCUUGUAGGCGGUUUGUUGCGUCGGAAGUGAAAACUCAGGGCUUAACCCUGAGCCUGCUUCCGAUACGGGCAAACUAGAGGGAUGCAGGGGAGAAUGGAAUUCCUGGUGGAGCGGUGGAAUGCGCAGAUAUCAGGAGGAACACCGGUGGCGAAGGCGGUUCUCUGGGCAUUUCCUGACGCUGAGAAGCGAAAGCGUGGGGAGCAAACAGGCUUAGAUACCCUGGUAGUCCACGCCGUAAACGGUGGGCACUAGGUGUGGGGAACAUUCCACGUUCUCCGUGCCGAAGCUAACGCAUUAAGUGCCCCGCCUGGGGAGUACGGCCGCAAGGCUA